UACCAUCGACCGUUAUGGCGGUGAGUUAGAGCUUAUACCUUAACAAAACAGAAUAAGUCGCUUGGAUCGGAAACGACCGAGACGGCAAC
This is a non-coding RNA of Chloroflexi bacterium RBG_13_52_12, 89 nucleotides long. The record is from Rfam. Lineage: Bacteria; Bacillati; Chloroflexota.